CAGUCGCCGCGGGAAUACGUAGGGUGCGAGCGUUGUCCGGAUUUAUUGGGCGUAAAGGGAGCGCAGGCGGUUAGAUAAGUCUGAAGUUAAAGGCUGUGGCUUAACCAUAGUACGCUUUGGAAACUGUUUAACUUGAGUGCAAGAGGGGAGAGUGGAGUUCCAUGUGUAGCGGUGAAAUGCGUAGAUAUAUGGAGGAACACCGGUGGCGAAAGCGGCUCUCUGGCUUGUAACUGACGCUGAGGCUCGAAAGCGUGGGGAGCAAACAGGAUUAGAUACCCCUGUAGUCCCUGUCUCUUAUACA
This 301-nucleotide ribosomal RNA is filed under the name uncultured bacterium. RNAcentral describes it as "partial 16S ribosomal RNA". It matches the Rfam family "Bacterial small subunit ribosomal RNA", at positions 509 to 808 of the family's 1533-position model. The record is from RNAcentral.